CGCACAUUGCGCCCCCUGGUAUUCCGAGGGGCAUGCCUAUUCGAGCGUCAUUAUCACCCCUCAAGCUUGGCUUGGUGUUGGGGCCUGCCGUGACGGCAGCCCCUAAAAUCAGUGGCGGUGCCGGCUGGCUCUAAGCGCAGUAAAUCUUCUCGCUAUUGGGACACGCCGAACACCCGCCAGAACCCCUCACUUUUUAAUGAUUGACCUCGGAUUAGGUAGGGAUACCCGCUGAACUUAA
This 238-nucleotide unclassified non-coding RNA is filed under the name Helotiales sp. Its description in RNAcentral is "partial contains 5.8S ribosomal RNA, internal transcribed spacer 2, and large subunit ribosomal RNA". Lineage: Eukaryota; Fungi; Ascomycota; Leotiomycetes; Helotiales. The record is from RNAcentral.